This 347-nucleotide microRNA precursor is filed under the name Paramuricea clavata. Lineage: Eukaryota; Metazoa; Cnidaria; Anthozoa; Malacalcyonacea; Plexauridae. The record is from RNAcentral.
UAUAUCAACCAAAAAAGCCGUCAUAGCGGACAAAUAACCACGGUGUCCUACCUUUUUUAUUGCAGAAAAAAAAUUGUUAUGAAGUUUUGAAUCUUUUUUGAAAGUUAUUUGAAAAUCGCCAGUGUAGUUUUCGAGAAACUGAAUUUCAGCCUUUCCAAAGGCUAAAAUGCGUCUUAAAGGCUGAAACUCAGUUUCUCGAAAACUACACUGACGAUUUUCAAAUAACUUAUAUAAGUUAUAAUAACAAAUAAAAAAUAUUCAAAACUUGAUAACAAUGUAUUUUCUGCAAUAAAAAGGUAGGUCACCGUGGUUAUUUGUCCGCUAUGACGGCUUUUUUGGUUGAUAUA